Molecule: non-coding RNA, 294 nt
Organism: Pelobates cultripes (western spadefoot toad)
Lineage: Eukaryota; Metazoa; Chordata; Amphibia; Anura; Pelobatidae
Source: the annotation of a GenBank genome assembly
AUUUCAUUAAUAUGUACCAUAUGUAAUGAGCAGAUAUUGGCCCAGUCUUGUUGCUAGGUGCAUACUCCAGCACAAUAACAUAUUUAAAGUGAAGAGCACACCCACAGGACUUCAAAAUAAAUUUUUUUUACAGUUGUGCCCUACAUACAUUCACCAUUUCAGUCCCAUUAACAAGCUUUCCUUAAUAUGUCAAGGUAGUUGGACUGAAACAUUGAUUACAUGCAAAGGCACGUCUGCUUAAAAUAAAUCUGCACUUUUGUUUAUUUUGAAGCCUAUGAGUGCGCUUUUUACGUU